GGACAGGAGCCGAGAGGCCGAGCACCUGUGACGGGCACUGCUCUACCUGGAUAGCCCACAGGAGCCCCUGCGAGCGGCGGCCGUCAGGAUCAUGGGCAUGGCCGGGAUGGUCACGAUGGGCUGGAAGGAAGAGCUCCAGCUCCUCAAUGAGGCCCUUCAAGGCCUGAGAAGAGAUGACAGCCCUCCCCAAAUGAACAUAGUCAUUCAGCAGAGAAUCAUUGAGAGAUCUGCAGAACUACGUUUAUCUGGUGGCUCAGAAGAACCAUUGCUCCUUAAAGUCCUAAAAACACCAUGGAAGAGGAGAUCAACUUGAGAGGCCAGAAGAGACAGAAGAGACCAGCUGGAGCUUCGGGCACAGCUGAUGAUUGGCACAGCUGAGCCUAUGGGAAGCUCCAAUAGCUCCUGCCUUCUCCCUGCCUGUUGACAACUCCGUGCCUCCCCCCAGCCCUCAGACCCUGCCCGUCCCCUUUCUUCCCUCCCCACUCCUCCCUUUGCUUCACCUUCCAUUAAUAAACAGUUUGGCUUCUUCACUUUGCCUGCAUCCCUGUGGAGCUGAAGCACAUCUGGGGCCCUGGGACACACUGGCCCCUGCUGCCAUUCUCUCCCACAGACCCAGAGGAACGAGGGCAGGUCAGGCUGGAAAGGUCCCUGUGCUGAAGGUGCAGCUCCACAGCACUGUGCAGUUCCACAAUCUUGUUGAGCACACUAAAGGCCAGCAGAGGGACAAGGAGCCUGUGUGUCAGGACCAAAGUCGUGUCUAAGGCCCUGCCAUAUUUGGUCCACUGUUGUGCACGUCAACAAGAUCAUGAAGAGAAGACAAUGAAGGAAACUUUAUGGUUUAACUGGUGGGAAUUUGACUGUAACUGGAAAAACUCCACCCCAGAAGAGGAGAUGUCAGGCCUGGUUAUGGGCUGGAGGGAUGAAAAGGACAAAAUGCCCAUCCUUUUGAUGCAGGGGAUGCCCUGAAUGUGGGUGGCCAGCCUGCUCCUCCCACUGGAGCACCAUGCUGAGAUACCCUGAGAGCAGCCCAGUGCUCCUUGCUCCUCUCUGCUGACCCAUGAGCAUUUGUCUGCUUUCGGGAUGGCCUGGCUGUGUCAGGGCUGCUCCGUGGACACGAGACAGCUGGUCCUGACCCACUGGGUCCCAGAAGUGCCUGGCAGCAGCCCUGCAUCUACAUCAGGAUGCUGGCCAAGAGAGGCCCCGGAAGCUGGGGCGGCUGAUUUGAAGCUUUUGCAGAUACACACAGGGGAUGGCCAGCAGUGUUCCCUCAGGA
Long non-coding RNA from Melospiza melodia melodia, 1273 nucleotides. RefSeq lists it as uncharacterized. The record is from RefSeq and is a predicted model, not a curated record. Lineage: Eukaryota; Metazoa; Chordata; Aves; Passeriformes; Passerellidae. The transcript is spliced from 3 exons.